Long non-coding RNA from Canis lupus familiaris (dog), 5944 nucleotides. RefSeq lists it as uncharacterized. The record is from RefSeq and is a predicted model, not a curated record. The transcript has 4 exons. Lineage: Eukaryota; Metazoa; Chordata; Mammalia; Carnivora; Canidae.
UGUGUGCACAUGUGCGUGUGUGCGGUCUGACCUAUCCAUCUCUGAAAGCUGGGCCACAGCUGUGCAUCUGUCUCAUGUCUGUUCCUGUGCUGAUCCGAUCCCUUUCCUCCUCUUUUCCCUUCCUCUCCCCGCCCUACUUUCUUCAGCCUCCACUCCACCACUCUGAUGACAUUCCUCCCUCCUUCCCCUCCUCCCUCCCUCCCUCCCUUUCCUUCCUUCCAGCAAAGAUAUUUAUUAAGGGUCUACCAUGUGCCAGGCACUGUUCUAGGCUCCAAGCACAAUAGGAGAUGAACAGACGGAGAUGCCUGGUCUCACAGGAGUGCGUGUCCUCCUGAGAUGAGAUGGGCAUUAAACAACAAUACGAAUUAGUAACAUGCUAGGGGAUGAUAAGUGCUAGGGAAAUAGUGGAAAGCAGUGAGGGGAGAGGGACCAUGGGGCUGGGAGAGUUAUUCUAAGUGGCUGGACACGAGGGCCUCGCCAAUGGGACCUUUGAGGGCUGAUGGGACCUGAGGGGUGAGAGGCAGGGAGACCCGUGGCUGUCUGGAGGAAGGGUGGCCCAGGCAAGGGUGUUGCGAGUGCAAAGGCCCUGAGGUGGGAAUGCACUUAGGGUGUUCUAGGGACAGCAGAGAAGCCAGUAUGGCUGGAGCAGAGUGAACGGGAGGAGAGGAGUCAGCAAAGUCACGGGGCCACAAGAUCGCGUGUGGGGAGCUUUUGGCUUUUGCUCUGAGUGGCAGGGGAGCCAUUGCAGGACUUGAAGCAGGGUCACUCGGGACUAAGGGGAGGCAGGGAGACCAGUGAGGAGGCUGAUGCGUGAUGGUAGUGACUGGUGAUGGUGCCUUGGGUGGGCAAGGGAAGGCCCAUCUCAGAGAUGCUGAGUUCGACGUAAUUAUUAGCCCUCAGGGGAUUUGACAGGCCGCACCUGGAGCUGGAGAGACACAGGUCAGAGCCAUUAGUGUUUGGAGAGCAUCUAGAGCCCAGCUUACGUGGGAGCCACAUUGUGCGUUUGCUCGGAUGUGUCCGUGUGCGUGUGCACGCUGAUGUGGCCAGGGACCGUAAGCAGGGGGGCCCCAGUCCCACGCCGCAGCACAGGGGAGGCAUGAGGGGUAAGGUGACAGUUCCAGAGGUCCACUGGCGGACCUGGGUGUGCAGCUUUGUGCAAUCUCAGAUCAUCAAGGCCAGCUGCAACCACUCUGAGUGGUGGCAUGCCAUGUGCCAAGCAGAAACGAUAGGGGGCCCUCCCUGGCGGGGCAGCUGUGGGCACCGAAUGAGACGGCGCACGUGCCCAACUUAGACUAGGCCGGCUGCCCGUUAUGAUGACUGUUCCCAUCAACCCUGAAAUGCGGGGGGAGACCUUUUGAACAAUUCACUUUCCUCCACUGGGUAGGGCUUAGGAAAGUGGUAUUUCCUACAUGCCUGGCUCCUCUUCAAUCAUAAAUGAGGAUUCUGAGGCUCAGAGAGGUUGAGUGAGUUGCCCAGGCCACACAGACAGGGCAAAGCUGGCACUGAAGCCAGCUCCACGCUGUGUUCCCUGCAUGGCUGCUGGUUGCUACUUGCCCAGGAAAGUACAGGCAAGGAGGAGUUGAGGUCUGAAGACUGACCCACACGUCCAGGAAGCAUGCCUGGGGGCCUGACGACGGUGCCCCGCAUCGCCUCAUGGCGUUUCCCCAUUCUCCCUGUAGUAGGGCGCUGGUGUUCACAUCAAUGCAGUUUCCCCAGGACAAGUGUCAGGGAGAAGGUGUGUGUCGGGGGGUGAUCUGUGCAGCCCAAGGCCCCAGGCACGCUGUCCUCUGAGAUGGCCAUUGUUUGGGCAAGGAUAGAGAGAGUGGGUGUGCACAGCCGCUUGCUCUGGGGUGUGUGCAUCACCUGUGCACGGCAGUGCGUGCAUGUGCCCAGUGGCAGGGUGGGAAGGGUAGCUGAGACCCACGUGGGAGACAGCCUGAGCCUGGCAGAGGGACCGGGCAACGGCUGGAAGGAGCUGCACUGGGCUGGGACCUCCCUGGAGUCCUUGAACCACAUCGGAGCUGCUGUGGGAAGGCUUCCUGGUGCGUGGAGAGAGGGAGGGAGGCACAUGCUGGUGAUUGAGCCGCUGCUCCUCCUUUUGAUCUGCUUGCUUCCCUGGAGAGACUCCCUCCUCCGCACCUGGGGGCUGCAGCGGGAGGGCUGGCCAGGGGGGCUUCAGGCUGGUGUGGGGUAGCAGGGCGCAGUAACCCUGGAGUGCAGGAAGCUUCUUUCUCCCACAUGGCCUUGCUGGGCCCUGCUGCCCCGUCCCUGCCACUGAGCGGCCUGGCUCCCUUGUGCCACAGGUGCGCUGAGGGCAUCCUGUCCUGCAGGGAAGGGUCCAGGGCACGCCACUGGGGCUCUAGGCCCAAGCUCACAUCCCUGCCCCUGGUUCUGCCUCUGUUCCUCUCAGUCAACACUCCUGUUCCUCUGUCCUUUCUGUCUCAGCCUGCAGGCUUCUCCUUCCUUCCUCCCUGCCUCAUAUACCUAGACCCCACUCUUGUGUUUUAGGGAUCUGGGCAUCCCCACAAUUUCAACUUGUCUCUGGUUCCAAGAGGUGAGGCAGUCCAGCUUCCAGGCAGGAUCUGGGUAUGGCCUGCAGGCUGGUCACCAGUGGGCAGGUGCAGAGGGAGAAAGGAGGGUAGAGCCAGCCAGAGCUGGGUUCGGAUCCUGCCUGCACCUCCUGGCUGUGUGACCACAGGCGAGUGAGCUGCUGAGCUGGGGAGGGCCUCUUGGCAGAUCCUGGAAGACCACUCAAGGGACAAUGUUCAGCACAUCUUUGAAGAGGCUGGUGGCUCUGGGGCCGCGGGUGGAGCAGUCCUCAGGAUGUCCAGGGUUUUGUGCCUUGCUGAGGAAGGGCCUCCCUACCCAGGAUCAUGAAGAUGUUUCCCCUUCGGGCUUCCACGUCUCGUCUUGAGGCUUGGCUUCUCUUCCUUCUGUUCCAUUGAUCUGUUUCAUUUGCUCCUGAUCCAAAACCCCAUGGUUAGCGUAUGUUCUCCUCUCAUUGCCCAUUGCUGCCCAUGAGAAUGAGAAGCUUCCUGCAGACAGAUAUUCCUCCUGCCUGUUCUGUUCCACGCUGUGGCCCAGCACUCAGCAGGUGCCUGUACGGGACGGAGGCAGCACCCACAACUCCGAAGACCGAGAAGGUGUUUAGCAAAGCCCAAACACACCACUAAUCUCCGUCCUCCCCAGCCGGGGACGGGUGAAAGAACGCUGACGAUCCAUCCAAGCAAGGACACCGUACUCCACUCCUCCCACAUAACCAUCAGGCAACCCUCUGAAGGUCUUGACCAGGGCAAGUGGGUGCUGGCCAGGAGGCUGGCUGGACACCCCGUCUGAAGAGCCACAGUUUUGUUCCUCAUGGUUCACAUGUAACCUGCCCCCAGAUGAUUGCUCAUGAGCAUAAUCAUAAAAGCAAUGACUGUUGAGUCUUGUCCGAUCCUCUGGAAAUGGAAAUGGGAGGAACUUCCUCAGGGAGUUUGGGCAAGGCUGGUGAGUGAGGACAGUGCCCCGCAAUCUUCCCAACCGCUGGACGGGAACGGUGACUAAUGGAGUCCUCACUUAUGUGCCAGGACGGACGGUGCUGUCUUGUACAAGUAUCCUUGUGCCCCAAACACUCCUGAGGUAGCUGCACCCUUGCAGACGAGGAAACCCCAGCCCCAGGAACCGGUCACCUGGUUCAGGCCUGCGGGGGCUCAGCUGGGAUAUGACCCCACAUCAGCCUGGCCCGGCACUAAGCUGCCUGGCUGGAGAAGUACCUUCCAACCCACGCCAGGUUAAGGCUGGUUGAGAGCUCCGCCCACCAAGGAGGCCAAAGUUUCAUUCUGUGGAAUUGAUGUAAAGGAAGCUGGGUGGGGGCAGCUAUGGCCUUUUCAAAAGGAGGACACAUCGAUUGUGCAGUUUAUACACCUAAAUUCAACUGUAUUCCUUUAGGAUGGAGAGGCAGGGGGUGGAGCAGGAGGAGAGAAGAGAGGGAGGGGUGACAGGCACCCCCGUGGAGGCCCACUCCACGGUCUGCACUCAGCUAUGUGUGGGGUUGGGCCUGGGAGCACUGGCAGGUUGCAGGCAGCCUUGGGUCCCCGUGGCCCCUGGGAGUCUCUCACCCAGCUGAACAGGUUCUGCAGUGAAAAGACUGGAUUUUCAUACUGCUUGGCCUCCAAGCAGGUCAGCGGUAUCUUCUAGUCCCCAAAGAAAGAACAUGGACCCCACAUGGAAGGGGAAAAAUCCACAGGCUGGAGACAAUGGACUGCAUCCCACGCAGGCCAACAGCCUGUGGUUUUCACCAUCUGGGCGCCAACCUUGGCACUGAGGGCCUCCAGGUGUGAGACGUUGGAGCAAGAGCACCAGGCUUGGCUCACAACACCAGGGACUGACCUUGUAUGACCUUGAUCAAGUCCUUUCCCUUUUCUGGGCCUCACGAUCCCCUCUGUGAACACAGCAGUGGCAAGAGUGGGUGAUCUCCCUUUCAGCUCUGUCGCUGGGUGCCCCAGCCAUUCACUUGGUCAACAGGCAUUCCGCCCAGGGCACUGCUCUAGCUGCCGGGGUGACACAAGGGAAGGAGAAAGAGAAGGUCUGCUCUUGGGGAACUUGGUUUUGAUGGAGAGACAGUGAGCAUGCCAACAACCAAGAAGGUAAUUUCAGAUGGUGGAAAGUGACAACACACAUGGUCAUGUGACAGAGAGCAAGGAGGCUUCCUUAGGUGGGGAGGUCCAAGAAGGGCUCCCUGGGAAGAGGACAUUUGAACCGAGACCUGAAGAUUGAGAUCUGUCAUGUGAGAAUCUAGCAGAUGUGCAAGACAGAAGGAUGGCAAGUGCAAAGGCCCCGUGGCAAGACAUGUUGGCAUGACCGAAGAACAGAAAGGCCAGAGUGGCUGGGGCGGUGAGCCAGAGGGAGUGCUGUCUGAGUCGAGGCAGAGGAAGUGAGCAGGACUGAUGGUUCUCAGCCAGGGGUGCACCACCUUUCCCAGUGAAUGCCCCUCAGUUGUCCCAAGGACUGGGGGACGUGCCACUAGCAUGUAGCGCUGGGAGGAUGACAGACGUCCCGUGAUACGGAGGGGUCCCACACAGUCCUGCUAUUUCCCUUAUCAGGACACAUUAGACCCCACCCCCUGCCUAUCAGGAUGGUUACUAUUAAAAACCAGAACAAAACCAAAAAUCAACAAGAGUUGGUAAGGAUGCAGAGAGAUUGGAGCCCUGGGCGCUGCUGGUGGGAGGGUAGAAUGGUGCAGCAGCCCUGGGAUACAGUGUGGCUGUUCCUCCAAAAUUCAGAAGAGAACUACCACGUGAUGCACCGAUUCCACUUCUGGUCACAGGUCCAAAGGAAUUGAAAGCAGCACUCAGAGAGCUAUCUGUACACCCGUGUUCAUAGCAGGAUUACUCACAAUAGCCAAAAGGUAGAAAAAAAACCCCAAAUGUCCAUCGAGGGAGGAGUGGAGAAACCGAGUAUAGACUAUACAUGCAGUGGAAUAUUAUUCAGCCUUAGAAAGGAAAGAUUCUCACGCACACUACAGUGUUGGACGACCCUUGAGGACACUAUGCUGAAUGACACGAGCCAGUCCACAAAAAUACAGAGCCGGUGUGAUUGCGCUUCUGUGAGGACCUGGAGCGGACAAGUUCAUAGAGACAAAGAGUAGACAAAGAGUAGAGACAAGAGUAGAGGUUGCCGGGGGCUGGAGGUGAGGGGAAUGAGGAGUUGUUGUUUGUUCAACGGGAAUGGGGUUUCAACGGUGGAAGAUGAAAAUGUCCUAAAGUCUGGGAGCACGACAGUCUGAAUGUACUUAAUACGACUGAGUUAUACGCUUAAGAGUGGUUAUGAGGGUUGGACGGAGGGGCACCUGGGGGGCUCAGUCGGUUAAGCGUCUGCCUUCAACUUAGAUCAGGUCAUGGUCCUGGGGUCCUGGGGUCCUAGGGUCCUGAGAUCAAGCCCCAUUUAGCCUGCCUCUCUGUCU